Molecule: ribosomal RNA, 246 nt
Filed under: uncultured bacterium
Lineage: Bacteria
Description: partial 16S ribosomal RNA
Rfam family: Bacterial small subunit ribosomal RNA
Source: RNAcentral
UAACACGUGGGUAACCUGCCUUAUAGUAGGGGAUAGCCUUUCGAAAGGAAGAUUAAUACCGCAUAAGAUUGUAGUAUCGCAUGAUAUAGCAAUUAAAGGAGCAAUUCGCUAUAAGAUGGACCCGCGUCGCAUUAGCUAGUUGGUGAGGUAAUGGCUCACCAAGGCGACGAUGCGUAGCCGACCUGAGAGGGUGAUCGGCCACAUUGGGACUGAGACACGGCCCAGACUCCUACGGGAGGCAGCAUG